UCCAGACUCCUACGGGAGGCAGCAGUGAGGAAUAUUGGUCAAUGGCCGCAGGGCUGAACCAGCCAAGUCGCGUGAGGGAUGACGGUCCUACGGAUUGUAAACCUCUUUUGUCAGGGAGCAAAGGGCGCCACGUGUGGCGCUUUGCGAGUACCUGAAGAAAAAGCAUCGGCUAACUCCGUGCCAGCAGCCGCGGUAAUACGGAGGAUGCGAGCGUUAUUCGGAUUUAUUGGGUUUAAAGGGUGCGCAGGCGGAAUGUCAAGUCAGCGGUAAAAUUUCGGGGCUCAACCCCGUCGUGCCGUUGAAACUGGCGUUCUUGAGUGAGCGAGAAGUAUGCGGAAUGCGUGGUGUAGCGGUGAAAUGCUUAGAUAUUGCGCAGAACUCCGAUUGCGAAGGCAGCAUACCGGCGGCGAUCUGACGCUGAGGCACGAAAGCGUGGGUAUCGAACAGGAUUAGAUACCCUAGUA
Molecule: ribosomal RNA, 464 nt
Filed under: uncultured bacterium
Lineage: Bacteria
Description: bacterial SSU rRNA
Rfam family: Bacterial small subunit ribosomal RNA
Source: RNAcentral